Molecule: RNA transcript, 6270 nt
Organism: Diospyros lotus (date-plum)
Lineage: Eukaryota; Viridiplantae; Streptophyta; Magnoliopsida; Ericales; Ebenaceae
Exons: 3
Source: RefSeq, a predicted model, not a curated record
CUUCCCUUUCCCCUUGCCAAAUCCCUAUUUCCUAUCUUCCUCAAGCAAAUUGCAGCUUUCACCAACUCCCUCAACAUUGCCGAUGUCACAUGCUUGCUCCCUCAAAGUCAUCGUCGCCGCAUCCUUACUGCCUCAACGUCCGCCGUCGUCGCGUCCUUACUGUCUCAACGCCGACGUCGCCUUGUCCUUGCUGCCUCAACGUCGUCUCCGCCACGUCCUUGCUACCUCAACGCCAUUGCCGCAGCCUCCUGCUACCUCAACGCGACUGCUGCCUCUUCCAAGUAGUUCGCAACCUCUCUUCCAUCUCAUAGUGAGUUUAUGUUUUGAAGUUAUAUAUGUUUAUAUAUGUAUUGUGUGUGUGUGUGUGGCCAGGCCUUUAAUUUAUGAUCUAAAUGUUUUUUUAGCCUUCAUUUAUGUAUCUUUUUCAACGUUUCCUGAAGCAUUGGUAGUUGGGUAUUAUGGCUCCCACUUUCAAUUACUUUAGAAACCCAUUCCUUGUCAUGGAGCAGUGGGAGGGGGAUAUCAAAGCAAUUUAUACCUAAUAAUCAAGUGUUUUUUUAUAAAAUAAUAAAAAAUUCAGUCAAUUCAUGCUAGACCCAAAAACAAUUCUAAGAGAGAAAAAGACAACUGGAAGUAAAGUAACAAACUGAAAAUAUAUAUUAGAUAUAUAUAACUUGGAGAUAGAAAGAGUGUGUGAAAAUAUCAUGUAUUGGUUGAUGUAAUUUGGAUGAAAAAUAGUUUGACAGGAAAAUGGCAAAGAAAAAGCUAUAUUUAAAAGAGAGACACACACUGCCACGCUCUGCUAGUGCUCUCUCUAGCUAAUAUAUAUACAUAUACAUAUAUAUAUUUAUAUAUAGAGAGAGAGAAGCUAGCUGGCUGCUAGCUGAGAGCAGCCUUUUUUUUUACUUGCAAAAUUGUUGUUGAUAUAUAUACAUAUCUCUCUCUAUAUAUGUAUUUUGUGUUUGUGUGUGUGUGGGGGGGGGGGGCUUCAAUUUAUGAUCUAAAUGCUUAUCUAGCCUUCAUUUUUGGUAUUUUUUUAUGUUUCCUGAAGCAUUAGUAUUGAACCUAUUUAAUUUCUUGGUCUUUUUUUGUAGAUAUCUUUUUUGGAAAUCUUGUUAUUUGAAAAGGAAAAUGAUGGAUAGAAAUUGGAUGAAUGAACAUAGAGUUAGUAAAAGGUACAUUGAUGGAGUGGAAGAAUUCUUAAGUUUGGCAUUUGCUAAAGCAAAUAUCAAUGGAAAAAUAACAUGCCCAUGUAAGAAGUGUGGGAAUGGACUGUGGGCAACUAGGUAAGAGGCAAAAGAUCAUUUGAUAUGCUUUGGGUUUAUUAAAGGAUAUACAAAAUGGACAGCCCAUGGAGAAGGUUCAUCAUUUGUGGGAUCUGAAACACAUGCUCCUAAUGACCUAUUUAUGAAUGAUGAGAUGCAUGAGUUAUUAUAUGAUGCAUUUGGCAUCCCAAAUGAACAUGUAAAUGACGAUGACCCAAUGAAUAUUGUAGAAGAAUCUAAUGAAAUGACUGAGACAUUUUAUAAGUUGCUUCAUGAAGCUAAACAAGAACUCUUCCCCGGGAGUAAGUUUUCAUUGUUAUCAUUUCUUGUUCGCCUAUUUCACAUUAAAUGUCUUGGAAAUUGGUCAAACAAGUCAUUUUCAAUGUUAUUGGAGUUGUUAAAGGAUGCAUUUCCUGAGGGGGGGCAAAUUACCAAAAUCUUACUACAAGACAAAGAAAGUGUUUAAGGGACUUGGCCUUGAGUGUAGAAAAAUCCACGCAUGUCCAAAUGAUUGCAUAUUUUAUCAUAAGGAAUAUGAGACAGCCACAGAAUGUUAUCAAUGUCAGACUCCUAGAUACAAAAUACCUACAAAUAGGUUGCAAAUUAAAUGAUGGAGAAAUGAGCAUAGAUACAAGUGAGACAAAAAUCCUUGCUAAGGUAUUAUUCUAUUUCCCAUUGAAACCAAGAUUGCAAAGGCUAUUCGUGUCUUCAAAAAUUUCCUCCUUUAUGAAAUGGCAUAAGGAGGACCGAAUUAAAGAUGGAUACAUGCGGCACCCGGCAGAUUCUCUAUCUUGGCAGACUUUUGACUUCAAGCAUCCUGAGUUUUCUAAAGAUCCACGUAAUGUUAGACUUGGAUUAGUAUGUGAUGGAUUUAACCCAUUUAGGACAAUGAGUAGUACUCAUAGUACUUGGCCAGUUAUCCUAAUGCCAUACAACCUCCCUCCUUAGAUGUGUAUGAAACAACCUUUUCUCAUGUUAUCGUUGCUCAUCCCUGGCCCUUCACCACCUGGAAAUAACCUUGAUGUAUACUUACAACCUUUGAUAGAGGACUUAAAGGAAUUAUGGGAUGGGGUAAACACAUAUGAUGUAUCUACUAAGGAAAAUUUUAAAAUGCGUGCAACUAUUAUGUGGACUAUUAGUGACUUGCCUGCCUAUGCUAACUUAUCUGGAUGGAGCACAAAAGGAAAGCUUGCUUACCCCUCAUGUCAUAAGUAUACAUGUUCUGAACGAUUGCAAAAAAGUGGGAAAUCAUGUUACAUGGGUCAUCGAGGAUUCUUGGAUGUUGAUCAUGCCAGUACGUCAAAAAUCUUUGUUCGAAAUCACUCCACUCUGUUGAUUUGGUUCAAAUGGAAUACCAAAUUGCAUUAAUACUUUAUCACCUAGAAAGGAUUUUCCCUCCAUCAUUCUUUGAUGUUAUGGUGCAUUUACCGAUUCACUUAGCAACAAAAGCUAAACUUGUUGGGCCUGUGCAUUAUCGUUGGAUGUAUCCUAUUGAGAGGUAAGUAAUACUCAUUGCUUCUAAUUUGUCAAAUUUUAUUUAGAUAUCAUUCCUUUGAAAGAAAACAUAAUCACUUUUUCAUCAUUGGGCUUCUUAUAGGUACUUGUCCACAUUAAAGUCAUAUGUAAGAAACAGAUCUCAUCCAGAGGGUUCCAUUGCUGAAGGUUAUUUAGCAAAUGAAUGUUUAACCUUUUGUUCUAGAUAUUUUGAUGACACUGAAACCAAAUUCAAUUGGCCAAGUAGAAAUUCUAAUGAAAGAAAUGUUAGCAAUGUUGAGUUACCAAUAUUUGCAAUGCAAGGACAAUCAUUUGGAAAAGAAGAGAUGGUUGUUUUAAAUAGAGAAACAUUAGAAAUGGCACAUAAAUAUGUGUUGUUUAAUUGUGACGCAAUUCAAGAAUUUAUUCAGUAAGUCAAUAAUUAUUUUUCAUUAAUUUUAAUAGAGUAUAAAUAGCUCUUUUGUAUCCUUAUAUUCUACUAUAUGCAUAGACAACAUGAGACUAUAAUAAACAAUCAAUAUCCUCGUCUUUCUAAAUGACAAAGGGCUAUUAAACACAUCGAGGAAUUUACUUCAUGGUUUAGUGACACAGUAAGUUUUUAUUCCGUAACCUUGGUUUCAAUUUUUUUAAUUUAUUUAUUUAUUUUUGUUUUCAUAAUCUGAUCCUUCAUUUAUUUAGGUUGGAGAAAUGUUUCCUGCUGGAAAUGAGGAUAUAUCUGAAGAGCUUCGAGCUCUUACUCAAGGUCCUAAUUGUGUUGCAAGAAAGUACAAGGGUUUUAUUAUUAAUGGUUUUAGAUUUCGUGUGAAAGAAGUUGAGGAAAAGAGAAAAACUCAAAAUAGUGGGGUUAUUGUUACUGCCAAGACAGAAAGUUAUGCUAGUGUGAGGGAUAACAACCCCAUAUUAGGAGAUGUCACAUAUUAUGGAGUUCUGAAUGAUAUUUUAGAGUUAGAUUAUCUCAGUGGUAAAAAAGUGACGCUAUUCAAUUGUGAUUGGGUUUCUCAAAGAAACGGAAAGAAAGAAAAUGAUGAUGGUUUCACCUUAGUCAAUUUCACUAGACUCAUGCCCACAGAUGAGCCAUUUAUUUUAGCUUCUCAAGCAUAACAAGUGUUUUAUGUGGAAGACCCUACAGAAAAAGACUGGCAUGUUGUAAUAAGAACCACACCUAGAGACCAAUUUGAUCAAAAAGUCAAUUCAUGUGAGGAUGAUAUAGAGACUCAACUGCAAAGCCAUGCAUACAAUCCUCAAAUUCAAGAUGGUGACAUCAAUGUUGAUAUUACAUGGGCUAGGGAGCAUGACGAAUUUGAUGCUUAUGGUUGAUAUGGUUCAUUAUUAUUUUUUUAUGUUAUAACUUUGUGCAACUUUCAAUUCUAUGCUUUUCUAAAUUGAGUUUGUAGUUUUUAAUGCUUUCUCCUUUGGGUUUUAUGCACAAUUAAUUCAUUUUUCAUUAUAGAAAACUAUAUAUCAAGAUUGUGUUGUCUUAAUUAGCUAUUUCAAUUAUCUAAAUACUAUUUGUGUGUUGUUCCAUUAGUUUGGUACAUAGAAUCAUUGUUAUAUAACAGUGAGCAUUGCUACAUUCACACAAAUUCAUCUUGAUGGCACCAAAGACUAGAAUUGGAUGUAUGUUUGAUGGGUUGGACUCAAACCAGUCAAGAAGAGAUUUAAGCAACACUCAAACCAAUACAGUCUCAGGUAAUCUAUCAACUUUUCUAAUUCAGCUUUGCUCAUUUCAUUUUAUACUUCUAUAAUGUUUUGGAAUAGACAAUGGUAUCAAGAAGAAUGUACAAGGGCCAACAUUUAUGAGAAAAAUUUGGGCUAGAGAUAAGCAAGAGGCUAUUCAAGUUGAAUUUAAUGACCUAGGGCAACCUAUUGAUGAAAAGUCAUCAAGUGAAUUAUCUCACUUCUUGGAAACUAUAGCACGCAAUGGAAGAUACGCACCAUUACAUUAUAAGAAUUGGAUCAAAGUACCUCAAACUUAUAAAAAAGAGAUGUUGACCCAAGUUCAGGUAUUGGUGUACUUCGUUCUUUAUAUUAUAACAAUAUUGUAUAAUAUCAUUGUUCUUACUUAUUCUUCUAUCAAAUUGAUUUGUCUUUUUUUUUUGGAAAAGUUUCAACUUCCUCCUGGUCAAUAGGAUUGGAUAUUGAAAUCCAUCGCCAAAAAGUGGAGAAAUUGGAAAUCUUUCAUGAAAACAAACUAUUAUGAUCCAAAUGCAUCUCUUGUUGAACAAAUGAAAAAUGUUCCUGAAAGAGUUCUUGAAGACCGAUGGAAGGAGUUGGUAACUUUUUGGAAUUCUGAUGCAUCAAAGGUGUGUGUAAAGUUAUACUUUAACUCGUGGUAUUUUUCAAUUAAUUACUCUUACAAACUUUGCCAUGUAUUCUAGAGAGUUAGUGAUAGGAAUAAAGUGAGUCGAGGACAUCAAAAAAUGGUACACCGAAACGGUAAGAUGAGUUUCGCUAGAGUGGCAGAGAAAAAGGUAACUUCUACUUCCUUUCAAAAUGCUAUGUAUAAUUGAAUUUUAAUGAAAUAAAUAUUAUUUUUGUUUCUCAUUAAUUAUAUUUGUCAUGAUUGGAAGUAUUCAAUUUUAUAUCUUUGUUUAACUAUUAUAUAAUAUAUAAAUAUUUACAUUGUAUGCAAAAAAAGGAACUUGGCUAUUACCCAUCAUGCUCUACCUUGUUCAUUAAGUGUUCUCAAAAGGUGAAACUCCGAGAAAUGAGGCAGCUAGUCAAGCAAUGGUAAUAGUUAAAUAAAAAUAAUAAUAAUUUAUUUGUCCAUUUGUUUAUAUUUAUUCUUUGAAUAUAUUUUUUUUUUUUUUGUAGGAAGCAAUGCGUGAGGUAACUAUUAAUGCUCCAGAAGGUCCACGAAAUGACCGAAAUGAAAAUGAUAGUUACUCUCAAGUUAUGGGAAAGGAGAAAGGUGGGCAUGUACGUAUGUAUGGCUUAGGUGUUUGUCCUUCAGAUCUUUAUGGUCCAACACCUAGUCGUGCAACGUCUCAUAGGCUUGCUAUGAGUUAUAAGAAUGAAUUGGAGAUAAUGAAGGAACAAUACAUGAAUAUGAAUGAGCAGCUACAAGAAUUGAGAGCUAUGUGCAUGGAAAAUAGAGAAACACCUAGUAAUAGUCAUCCUAUGCCAUCUUCAAACCCUUCUAAUCUUGUGUCAUCUCUUCAGAGCAAUAUGGGUUUUUCUUCACCAACUUCAACUCGCCAACCAAUUUGAGUACAUAUUCAAGUGGCAGUAGAGUGGGAUGAAGAAUUGAUAAGAAGAUAUGGAAUGUUUGAAACCAUUGGAGAUGCCCUUGGAACACAUGUUGCAUGGCCAUUGUUCUUGGUUGAACGUGAUGAAAGUGAUUAUAGUUCAAUAGAUCAUGGAGAUUAGUUUUUUUUUUGUGUGUGUGUUAUAAUGGAUGACAAAUGACAAUAAUUGUUAGAUUUAUGGAUUUUUGGAGUAAUUCUUUUUUUGACAAAUCAAUCAUAGACCAUGGAGGUAUUGGUUUUGUAUAUGUAUAUGUGAAGUGGUU